Molecule: ribosomal RNA, 429 nt
Filed under: Bacteroidota bacterium
Lineage: Bacteria; Pseudomonadati; Bacteroidota
Description: Bacteroidetes bacterium partial 16S ribosomal RNA
Rfam family: Bacterial small subunit ribosomal RNA
Source: RNAcentral
UAGGGAAUCUUCGGCAAUGGGGGGAACCCUGACCGAGCAACGCCGCGUGAGUGAAGAAGGUUUUCGGAUCGUAAAGCUCUGUUGUUAAGGAAGAACGAGUGUGAGAAUGGAAAGUUCAUACUGUGACGGUACUUAACCAGAAAGGGACGGCUAACUACGUGCCAGCAGCCGCGGUAAUACGUAGGUCCCGAGCGUUGUCCGGAUUUAUUGGGCGUAAAGCGAGCGCAGGCGGUUUGAUAAGUCUGAAGUUAAAGGCAGUGGCUCAACCAUUGUAGGCUUUGGAAACUGUUUAACUUGAGUGCAGAAGGGGAGAGUGGAAUUCCAUGUGUAGCGGUGAAAUGCGUAGAUAUAUGGAGGAACACCGGUGGCGAAAGCGGCUCUCUGGUCUGUAACUGACGCUGAGGCUCGAAAGCGUGGGGAGCGAACAGG